CCUACGGGAGGCAGCAGUGGGGAAUUUUGGACAAUGGGCGCAAGCCUGAUCCAGCAAUGCCGCGUGCAGGAUGAAGGCCUUCGGGUUGUAAACUGCUUUUGUACGGAACGAAAAGUCUUGGGUUAAUACCCUGGGAUCAUGACGGUACCGUAAGAAUAAGCACCGGCUAACUACGUGCCAGCAGCCGUGGUAAUACGUAGGGUGCAAGCGUUAAUCGGAAUUACUGGGCGUAAAGCGUGCGCAGGCGGUUUUGUAAGACAGUGGUGAAAUCCCCGGGCUCAACCUGGGAACUGCCAUUGUGACUGCAAGGCUGGAGUGCGGCAGAGGGGGAUGGAAUUCCGCGUGUAGCAGUGAAAUGCGUAGAUAUGCGGAGGAACACCGAUGGCGAAGGCAAUCCCCUGGGCCUGCACUGACGCUCAUGCACGAAAGCGUGGGGAGCAAACAGGAUUAGAUACCCUGGUAGUCCACGCCCUAAACGAUGUCAACUGGUUGUUGGGAAUUUAUUUUCUCAGUAACGAAGCUAACGCGUGAAGUUGACCGCCUGGGGAGUACGGCCGCAAGGUUAAAACUCAAAGGAAUUGACGG
Molecule: ribosomal RNA, 585 nt
Filed under: uncultured bacterium
Lineage: Bacteria
Description: bacterial SSU rRNA
Rfam family: Bacterial small subunit ribosomal RNA
Source: RNAcentral